UCAAACCCCCUCGGGCCGCAUCUCCACAGCGGGAAGCGGCCCGGCGUUGGAGCGACGCGGGACCCCUGAUGAAGGACCCGCGCGCCCCCAAAUCGAGUGGCGGACGCCCCCGAGCCUCCCAGCGCAGUAGCUUCGGUCUCGCUGACGGUGGACGGGAGUGGCCCUUGCCUCCAUAAAAUCACCUUGAGUUUGACC
Molecule: ribosomal RNA, 195 nt
Filed under: Zalerion sp. CCF3788
Lineage: Eukaryota; Fungi; Ascomycota; Sordariomycetes; Lulworthiales; Lulworthiaceae
Description: Lulwoana sp. CCF3788 5.8S ribosomal RNA
Source: RNAcentral